RNAcentral lists this unclassified non-coding RNA (1661 nucleotides) under Hevea brasiliensis (rubber tree). Lineage: Eukaryota; Viridiplantae; Streptophyta; Magnoliopsida; Malpighiales; Euphorbiaceae. The record is from RNAcentral.
CAAAAGUAAACCCCAAUAGAUAACAGGUUUUCACCUGAAAAAAGUACCGUGCAAGUACUUGAAAUCAAUACUUUUCUAUUCCCAUUGAGUUGUAAUAUACAAAACCAAUCUACAACAUGAAAAGCGGCCACUGUUCAAUUUUCAGAUUCAGGUGAAAAUAUAGAGAUCUGGGUUUCAGCUCUAGCUAACAGCCACACUAUUAAUCAGCUUCUGAUCCAGCUGGGCCAUGGAAUUUCUUCCACUAUAGACGGGAAAAGAGUACUGUUUACAGCUAAAGGGGGCAACUAUUUAAUAAAACCUAAAAAGUUGUAACAAAUGCCCAGAGAAAUUUUGAUAGAAUUCCUGAGGCCUUUCCAACAAAUAAAUUAUGCUAAGAUAAAAGAAAAAUUAAAAAUUGAUACACGAACAUGACAGUCUAGAGUUUGGUUACAGCUCCCAAAUCUCUGUGAUGACUGUCUCACAGCCCUCUGCAUUUCGCAAAGAGUUGAUAAGAUACGUAUAUACAACCAAUGAAGCAUGUCAAAUACGUGCUGAUCUUCUGAGCCAAAUCCUCGAACCAUGAUCCCUUCCACGCGAAGCAUUAACCCAAAUAGACUUGCUCUUUUGAACAAGCCGAGAAGCCAGACAAAAAAUGUAUUCUAAAAAUUAUGUAGUAUAAAAAUCAGUAGGAGAACUUUACAAAAACACGUACAAACUUCCUAAAAAAUAAAUCAAUAAAUGCAAUUAGUGGUGGAAACUCACCAAUCUCAGCCGUGGCAGUACUAGCUGAUCAUCUUGGCCGCCAAAUACUUGAAACUGAAACACAAGAAAGAUACAUAAGACUGCCCAGUUAUUCAUGAUUUGAUAAUUUUGGCACAACCAUGGAGACAAAAUAAGUAGCCACAUACAAAGUCAUCAAAAAGAACCAACAAAAGAAAAGAAGAAAAAUGAUUCAAUUUUAUUAUGAAAUUUAACACAAUGCGGCAGAAAAUAACCUCUAUUGGACACUGGACUUGCACUCUCAGGUGGUGGCCUAAAAGGCAUGAAGUUCCUGUGAUGCAUCCCCCGGGCAGGAAAUGACCAUCCCUGAUGAGGUAUUCUAUCCGGCUCUCUUGGGGGGCCACAAUAUGAUUCAGGUGGGUAAGAUGCCCUGCCCUUUUCUGAAUGUCGUGGACCAGGAAAAGGGGGUGCAGGGUAUCUCCACCUCUCAUUGAGUUCAUAUGGGGCUGGCCUCAUUCUCUCAUGGUUAUUAUAAAAGUUUCCACCAUCAGCAUUAUGUGACGAGUGGAAUCUGUGGUGGUAAGGAGGUGGGGUGUCUCUCCGAGACUUCACAUGCUGGCCUGCCUGAACAUAAGAGAAUUGAUUUGAAGGUGGUGGGUGUGGCCUUGGAGGAUAAGCCUUGUGGAAGUUUGGCCCAUCUGAGUGCAUUGGAUGUACAGGGUAACUGCUGACAGAGUUCGUGGAUUCACAAUGUUGCAUCUGCAUCUGAUCCCUACAUUCAGUAGCAUGAUAAUGCACUCCAUUGGACAUUGAUGGGUUGAUUCUUGGUGCUGCUGGCUGCUGACCCACAGAUUCUCUCAAGUCAUCUUGCAUAUUAUGUGAAUUUGCAUAAAGAUUUGAAUCAAUGCUAGUAAUGUAUGGAUCAGGAAUUCCACACGAAGGUGGGAUAGCAGGAGGAGGUG